This 391-nucleotide ribosomal RNA is filed under the name uncultured eukaryote. RNAcentral's name for it is "SSU rRNA". It matches the Rfam family "Eukaryotic small subunit ribosomal RNA", at positions 587 to 972 of the family's 1831-position model. The record is from RNAcentral.
AGCUCCAUUAGCGUAUAUUAAAGUUGUUGCAGUUAAAAAGCUCGUAGUUGGAUUUCGGUGUGGGCCAGUUGGUCGGCCGCAAGGCUUGUUCACUGGCUGGUCUACUCUCUCAAUCUCAAAGACUGCACGUGCUCUUCACUGUAGUGUGUGUCAGGAUUUGGGACGUUUACUUUGAAAAAAUUAGAGUGUUCAAAGCAGGCACUUGUCAGCCACUGAAUACAUGAGCAUGGAAUAAUGGAAUAGGACUACGGUCCCUAUUUCGUUGGUUUAGAGGACCGAAGUAAUGAUUAAGAGGGACAGUUGGGGGCAUCCGUAUUUCGUAGUCAGAGGUGAAAUUCUUGGAUCUACGAAAGACGAACAACUGCGAAAGCAUUUGCCAAGAGUGUUUUCA